Molecule: long non-coding RNA, 494 nt
Filed under: Gallus gallus (chicken)
Lineage: Eukaryota; Metazoa; Chordata; Aves; Galliformes; Phasianidae
Source: RNAcentral
CAGCGCCGUCGCUGUGCGAGGAGUUGAAGAGAUAGAUGUCCUCAUCGUUGUAACUGGCCAGCAGCUCAGAGCCGUCGUGGCUGUACACCAGGCAGGUGAUGUUCGCUUUGGACUCGCUGUUUACCAGGUGGUGGGGGCAGAACUUCUUCAGCACGCCGUUGUUCUCGUUCUCGUCAAUCUUCCGCUGGUCGUAGAUCCUCACAAACUGAUCUCUGCCUCCCACGGCAAACUGGUAGGUGUUGGCCGGGUUCACGAAGAUGGUGUACAGCCCCACCUUCUUCUCCUUUUCCUUUGUCACCACCAGUUUCGAGGCAGGCCGGUCUUGUCGCAGAUCAAUGGUGAAGACUACAGCAUCUUCACCUGCUGAUAGGAAAGUGCAUGGAGAAUCCGGUUCUAGGGCCAGCUUGUGUGAGGCUCCUUUGUGCUGCGCCACGCGCUUGGUGCUCCUGCAGCACUGCGUGGCCGACAGCUCAGCCACCCGCACCUGCCCGUCC